Molecule: unclassified non-coding RNA, 229 nt
Filed under: uncultured fungus
Lineage: Eukaryota; Fungi
Description: sequence contains ITS1, 5.8S rRNA gene
Rfam family: 5.8S ribosomal RNA (bases 181-229)
Source: RNAcentral
UCUCCGUAGGUGAACCUGCGGAGGGAUCAUUACCGAGUGAGGGCUCACGCCCGACCUCCAACCCUUGGUGAACCCAUCUUGUUGCUUCGGGGGCGACCCUGCCGGCACUCGGUCGCCGGUCGCCCCCGAAGGUCUCCAAACACUGCAUCUUUGCGUCGGAGUUUAAAACAAAUGAAACAAACCUUUCAACAACGGUUCUCUUGGUUCUGGCAUCGAUGAAGAACGCAGC